Molecule: ribosomal RNA, 429 nt
Filed under: Gemmatimonadota bacterium
Lineage: Bacteria; Pseudomonadati; Gemmatimonadota
Description: Gemmatimonadetes bacterium partial 16S ribosomal RNA
Rfam family: Bacterial small subunit ribosomal RNA
Source: RNAcentral
UAGGGAAUCUUCGGCAAUGGACGAAAGUCUGACCGAGCAACGCCGCGUGAGUGAAGAAGGUUUUCGGAUCGUAAAACUCUGUUGUUAGAGAAGAACAAGGACGUUAGUAACUGAACGUCCCCUGACGGUAUCUAACCAGAAAGCCACGGCUAACUACGUGCCAGCAGCCGCGGUAAUACGUAGGUGGCAAGCGUUGUCCGGAUUUAUUGGGCGUAAAGCGAGCGCAGGCGGUUUCUUAAGUCUGAUGUGAAAGCCCCCGGCUCAACCGGGGAGGGUCAUUGGAAACUGGGAGACUUGAGUGCAGAAGAGGAGAGUGGAAUUCCAUGUGUAGCGGUGAAAUGCGUAGAUAUAUGGAGGAACACCAGUGGCGAAGGCGGCUCUCUGGUCUGUAACUGACGCUGAGGCUCGAAAGCGCGGGGAGCAAACAGG